UGGGGAAUAUUGCACAAUGGGGGAAACCCUGAUGCAGCGACGCCGCGUGAGCGAAGAAGGUUUUCGAAUCGUAAAGCUCUGUCCUAUGGGAAGAUAAUGACGGUACCAUAGGAGGAAGCCCCGGCUAACUACGUGCCAGCAGCCGCGGUAAUACGUAGGGGGCAAGCGUUGUCCGGAAUCACUGGGCGUAAAGGGUUCGCAGGCGGAAAUGCAAGUCAGUUGUGAAAGGCAGAGGCUCAACCUCUGUAAGCAAUUGAAACUGUAUUUCUUGAGAUGUGGAGAGGCAAGUGGAAUUCCUAGGGUAGCGGUGAAAUGCGUAGAUAUUAGGAAGAAUACCGGUGGCGAAGGCGACUUGCUGGACACAAACUGACGCUGAGGAACGAAAGCGUGGGUAGCAAACAGG
RNAcentral lists this ribosomal RNA (403 nucleotides) under Verrucomicrobiota bacterium. Its description in RNAcentral is "Verrucomicrobia bacterium partial 16S ribosomal RNA". It matches the Rfam family "Bacterial small subunit ribosomal RNA", at positions 355 to 776 of the family's 1533-position model. RNAcentral also lists the same sequence under 1 other name. Lineage: Bacteria; Pseudomonadati; Verrucomicrobiota. The record is from RNAcentral.